UACGGGGGGGGCAAGCGUUGUUCGGAAUUACUGGGCGUAAAGGGCGCGUAGGCGGCCAACUAAGUCGGAUGUGAAAUCCCCAGGCUUAACCUGGGAACUGCAUCCGAUACUGGAUGGCUUGAAUCCGGGAGAGGGAUGCAGAAUUCCAGGUGUAGCGGUGAAAUGCGUAGAUAUCGGGAGGAACACCAGUGGCGAAGGCGGCUACCUGGCACAUAACUGACGCUGAUACGCGAAAGCGUGGGGAGCGAACAGG
This 253-nucleotide ribosomal RNA is filed under the name uncultured bacterium. RNAcentral's name for it is "partial 16S ribosomal RNA". It matches the Rfam family "Bacterial small subunit ribosomal RNA", at positions 524 to 776 of the family's 1533-position model. The record is from RNAcentral.